This 2206-nucleotide small RNA is filed under the name Rattus norvegicus (Norway rat). RNAcentral's name for it is "uncharacterized LOC102556510". The record is from RNAcentral. Lineage: Eukaryota; Metazoa; Chordata; Mammalia; Rodentia; Muridae.
UCUUCCUAUGAGUGUGAAAACCCCUUCAGCUCCUACAGUCCUUGCCCUAACUUCCCUAUUGGAGUCCUUGUGCUCACUCCAAUGUUUGGCUGUGUACAUACACUUCUGUAUAGGAUGACUCUGGCACAGCCUCUCAGGGGACAAUUAUACUGGGCUCCUGUCAGUUUCACCAUUAUCAAACUCUUGUGCAUUUGAUGCUUGCCUAUGGCGAGGCAGUGGCCCCUACUUGUUUAAGAUGGAGAAACAUCAGGACUACAUUAAGGAAGGAAUGUUUUAUUUAAAGCCUCCGUUGGUAACACACUACCCUAUUUCCCCUUACAAUUUGCUCACUCUAAUUGUUAAAACAUUUCCUGCUAUUUCUGAGCUGUGGAGACCACAAAAAUGUACAGAUGAUGCUCGACCAGGUCUACAUAGAGGAGCAAGUUUGUCUUUCAUCUGUCUUUUAAAAGUGUUUGAGACACUUCUUGGAUUACUUGUUCCUCUUUUACUACUACUUGUUAUUUAGAACUAACCUCCUUAAUGAUACAGGUUUUUAACUGAGUAGUUAGUGAGUCCUCAACGUUCGGAAAGUUUCGAGUGAAAUUCAGCAAGACAGAACACAGACAAGCAAACCCACCAGUAGAUGUAUAGGAAGAAAUGUAGCUGCAAAACUGAUUGCAGUGUGAACUGGGGAUUGUUGGACUCUAUUCCCUGAUUUAUAGUUCUAUUUUAAAGAAUGUAAAAUGCUAUCUCACUUUUAAAAUUUGGGGUAUCUGUUGUAAUUUAAUUUUCAAGGUGAAUUACAAACAAGGAGAAAUUCUUUUAUCAGAUAUUUAGAAACUAAUGGCAUUCUCGAUUAUUUGACAAAACUUUUAAGUACCUAAAUAACAUUAUUAAUCUUAACAGAAUCCAGUUCCAUUUCAGGCAUAAGAUUCUACUUCCGGAGAACAAUUACAUGUGUUAAGAUUUAACUAAAUUUUCCUACUGCCCUGCGUUCUCAAUUUUCUCUGUAUAUCUCAUAUCUCUCAGAGCUCCCAACAUGAGAAAUGAGAAAUGAAAGUAAAUCAAUACCCAGAUGUGUCAAACAUAUUUUAAUCAAGUUUCUCUGUGAAAGAAGACAAUUGUUUUGUGAAGCAUUCCGAACAUAAUAGACUUUAUGAUGGCAUGAAGGAUGAGCUCUGGGGUCCUAUUCAUGUUUGACAUUCUAUAAAGGGCUGAGAAAACACUUUUUGAAGGAAGAUCAACAAGAUAAAAAAGUAAAUGUUACCAAGAAUCUAUAAGUACUGACUCCUACAAGAGAAAGAAUGCAGUAAACAAAAUGACCAGCCAACCAACCAAUGAAAACCAAGUGUGUUUUGUCAAUUUUCACACCUAAGUGAACUGAGAAAAUGCCCUCUGCUUCCUUCUGUGGUGUCAGGAAGAAAUUCAAACCGUACAUGCCCUUCUCCAAAAGCAUCUACCCCACUUAUUGUCUUGUGUAGCCACAAUGGGGAGGGGAAAAAUAAGGUUUGAAGCAAAACACACAGUAAGCCAAUAUUCCUGUUCAAAGUGUCACACCAUGAAAUGCCAUCAACAUUUCAAGUUCAGAAGAUGUUAUCGAGAUUUUUAAAUGACAACAAGACAGAAGUACCAUUCGGGGCAUAAGAAUUCCGGUAUUUGGAUUAUUGUUUCUUUUAAGAAAGUGAUCUAACGUGCAUCUCAUUUAUAUUUCAUGCAAUUUUUACAAAAUGUUUACUGACUCACAUUGAUUGAUUUUCAUGGCUGAAGUGUUGCAGAUAUUUCGUUAUUGUUUCCCUAUUAGUAUGAGAUAUGAGAUGUUUGCUGUUUACUUUUACCCAUUUCAUUUACUGUGCUUAUCAUUUAUCAUAUUGGUUUUAUUUACUUUUUAAUCAUUUUUCUUCUGUCUUGUUUUUUUUUAUUUAACCUGAAGUUUCCAAUAAUUACAUGAGUGUAAUGGUUAACUGUGGACACUAAUUUUACCACAGCGAAUAAUAUCUUCAACACUGAUAAAGCAUAAUUGUGAGUAGAAUUUUGAGGCUGUUUCCAGUGUUUGCCCUAUGAAGCUGAAUGGAAUAGGAGAGAGAAUAUGCUGUCAAGUAGCACUCAACAUUAAAUCAUCUGCCAAAGCCAAUAGCUUGUGGAAAUAUGUUAUUAUAGUCAUAUUUCAAUCAGCCAGUCUUGGCCCUGGAUAUUAGACCUCUAGGCCUGGAAAGGGAUCCAUAUCUAG